UUAAGCGACUAAGCGUACACGGUGGAUGCCCUGGCAGUCAGAGGCGAUGAAGGACGUGCUAAUCUGCGAUAAGCGUCGGUAAGGUGAUAUGAACCGUUAUAACCGGCGAUUUCCGAAUGGGGAAACCCAGUGUGAUUCGUCACACUAUCAUUAACUGAAUCCAUAGGUUAAUGAGGCGAACCGGGGGAACUGAAACAUCUAAGUACCCCGAGGAAAAGAAAUCAACCGAGAUUCCCCCAGUAGCGGCGAGCGAACGGGGAGCAGCCCAGAGCCUGAAUCAGUGUGUGUGUUAGUGGAAGCGUCUGGAAAGGCGCGCGAUACAGGGUGACAGCCCCGUACACAAAAAUGCACAUGCUGUGAGCUCGAUGAGUAGGGCGGGACACGUGGUAUCCUGUCUGAAUAUGGGGGGACCAUCCUCCAAGGCUAAAUACUCCUGACUGACCGAUAGUGAACCAGUACCGUGAGGGAAAGGCGAAAAGAACCCCGGCGAGGGGAGUGAAAAAGAACCUGAAACCGUGUACGUACAAGCAGUGGGAGCACGCUUAGGCGUGUGACUGCGUACCUUUUGUAUAAUGGGUCAGCGACUUAUAUUCUGUAGCAAGGUUAACCGAAUAGGGGAGCCGAAGGGAAACCGAGUCUUAACUGGGCGUUAAGUUGCAGGGUAUAGACCCGAAACCCGGUGAUCUAGCCAUGGGCAGGUUGAAGGUUGGGUAACACUAACUGGAGGACCGAACCGACUAAUGUUGAAAAAUUAGCGGAUGACUUGUGGCUGGGGGUGAAAGGCCAAUCAAACCGGGAGAUAGCUGGUUCUCCCCGAAAGCUAUUUAGGUAGCGCCUCGUGAAUUCAUCUCCGGGGGUAGAGCACUGUUUCGGCAAGGGGGUCAUCCCGACUUACCAACCCGAUGCAAACUGCGAAUACCGGAGAAUGUUAUCACGGGAGACACACGGCGGGUGCUAACGUCCGUCGUGAAGAGGGAAACAACCCAGACCGCCAGCUAAGGUCCCAAAGUCAUGGUUAAGUGGGAAACGAUGUGGGAAGGCCCAGACAGCCAGGAUGUUGGCUUAGAAGCAGCCAUCAUUUAAAGAAAGCGUAAUAGCUCACUGGUCGAGUCGGCCUGCGCGGAAGAUGUAACGGGGCUAAACCAUGCACCGAAGCUGCGGCAGCGACGCUUAUGCGUUGUUGGGUAGGGGAGCGUUCUGUAAGCCUGCGAAGGUGUGCUGUGAGGCAUGCUGGAGGUAUCAGAAGUGCGAAUGCUGACAUAAGUAACGAUAAAGCGGGUGAAAAGCCCGCUCGCCGGAAGACCAAGGGUUCCUGUCCAACGUUAAUCGGGGCAGGGUGAGUCGACCCCUAAGGCGAGGCCGAAAGGCGUAGUCGAUGGGAAACAGGUUAAUAUUCCUGUACUUGGUGUUACUGCGAAGGGGGGACGGAGAAGGCUAUGUUGGCCGGGCGACGGUUGUCCCGGUUUAAGCGUGUAGGCUGGUUUUCCAGGCAAAUCCGGAAAAUCAAGGCUGAGGCGUGAUGACGAGGCACUACGGUGCUGAAGCAACAAAUGCCCUGCUUCCAGGAAAAGCCUCUAAGCAUCAGGUAACAUCAAAUCGUACCCCAAACCGACACAGGUGGUCAGGUAGAGAAUACCAAGGCGCUUGAGAGAACUCGGGUGAAGGAACUAGGCAAAAUGGUGCCGUAACUUCGGGAGAAGGCACGCUGAUAUGUAGGUGAAGUCCCUCGCGGAUGGAGCUGAAAUCAGUCGAAGAUACCAGCUGGCUGCAACUGUUUAUUAAAAACACAGCACUGUGCAAACACGAAAGUGGACGUAUACGGUGUGACGCCUGCCCGGUGCCGGAAGGUUAAUUGAUGGGGUCAGCGCAAGCGAAGCUCUUGAUCGAAGCCCCGGUAAACGGCGGCCGUAACUAUAACGGUCCUAAGGUAGCGAAAUUCCUUGUCGGGUAAGUUCCGACCUGCACGAAUGGCGUAAUGAUGGCCAGGCUGUCUCCACCCGAGACUCAGUGAAAUUGAACUCGCUGUGAAGAUGCAGUGUACCCGCGGCAAGACGGAAAGACCCCGUGAACCUUUACUAUAGCUUGACACUGAACAUUGAGCCUUGAUGUGUAGGAUAGGUGGGAGGCUUUGAAGUGUGGACGCCAGUCUGCAUGGAGCCGACCUUGAAAUACCACCCUUUAAUGUUUGAUGUUCUAACGUUGACCCGUAAUCCGGGUUGCGGACAGUGUCUGGUGGGUAGUUUGACUGGGGCGGUCUCCUCCUAAAGAGUAACGGAGGAGCACGAAGGUUGGCUAAUCCUGGUCGGACAUCAGGAGGUUAGUGCAAUGGCAUAAGCCAGCUUGACUGCGAGCGUGACGGCGCGAGCAGGUGCGAAAGCAGGUCAUAGUGAUCCGGUGGUUCUGAAUGGAAGGGCCAUCGCUCAACGGAUAAAAGGUACUCCGGGGAUAACAGGCUGAUACCGCCCAAGAGUUCAUAUCGACGGCGGUGUUUGGCACCUCGAUGUCGGCUCAUCACAUCCUGGGGCUGAAGUAGGUCCCAAGGGUAUGGCUGUUCGCCAUUUAAAGUGGUACGCGAGCUGGGUUUAGAACGUCGUGAGACAGUUCGGUCCCUAUCUGCCGUGGGCGCUGGAGAAUUGAGGGGGGCUGCUCCUAGUACGAGAGGACCGGAGUGGACGCAUCACUGGUGUUCGGGUUGUCAUGCCAAUGGCACUGCCCGGUAGCUAAAUGCGGAAGAGAUAAGUGCUGAAAGCAUCUAAGCACGAAACUUGCCCCGAGAUGAGUUCUCCCUGACCCUUUAAGGGUCCUGAAGGAACGUUGAAGACGACGACGUUGAUAGGCCGGGUGUGUAAGCGCAGCGAUGCGUUGAGCUAACCGGUACUAAUGAACCGUGAGGCUUAACCUU
Molecule: ribosomal RNA, 2902 nt
Filed under: metagenome
Description: bacterial LSU rRNA
Rfam family: Bacterial large subunit ribosomal RNA
Source: RNAcentral